RNAcentral lists this ribosomal RNA (253 nucleotides) under uncultured bacterium. Its description in RNAcentral is "partial 16S ribosomal RNA". It matches the Rfam family "Bacterial small subunit ribosomal RNA", at positions 524 to 776 of the family's 1533-position model. The record is from RNAcentral.
UACGAAAGGGGCUAGCGUUGGUCGGAGUUACAGGGCGUAAAGCGCACGUGGGCGGCCUUGUAAGAUGGGGGUGAAAUCCCCGGGCUCAACCCGGGAACUGCCUUCAUGACUGCAAAGCUAGAGGAUGCGAGAGGUUAGCGGAAUUCCGAGUGUAGAGGUGAAAUUCGUAGAUAUUCGGAAGAACACCAGUGGCGAAGGCGGCUAACUGGCGCAUUUCUGACGCUGAGGUGCGCAAGCGUGUGGAGCAAACAGG